Molecule: ribosomal RNA, 252 nt
Filed under: uncultured bacterium
Lineage: Bacteria
Description: partial 16S ribosomal RNA
Rfam family: Bacterial small subunit ribosomal RNA
Source: RNAcentral
UACGUAGGUCCCGAGCGUUGUCCGGAUUUAUUGGGCGUAAAGCGAGCGCAGGUGGUUUAUUAAGUCUGGUGUAAAAGGCAGUGGCUCAACCAUUGUAUGCAUUGGAAACUGAUAGACUUGAGUGCAGGAGAGGAGAGUGGAAUUCCAUGUGUAGCGGUGAAAUGCGUGGAUAUAUGGAGGAACACCGGUGGCGAAAGCGGCUCUCUGGCCUGUAACUGACACUGAGGCUCGAAAGCGUGGGGAGCAAACAGG